Long non-coding RNA from Dreissena polymorpha, 833 nucleotides. RefSeq lists it as uncharacterized. The transcript is spliced from 4 exons. Lineage: Eukaryota; Metazoa; Mollusca; Bivalvia; Myida; Dreissenidae. The record is from RefSeq and is a predicted model, not a curated record.
CGAGCUUUCAAACGGUUGAGAUCCGGUGCCCAAGACAGGAGAAAAGUGAACCGUAUUGCUGGGGACUCCAAUGCUCAUCGGAUUAAGGAUAUUCUUCCUGAUGAUAUAGCUGUCAAAUGCCUGCCAAUCUCUGAUGAGAAUAUGUAAUGACAAUGGUAUAGAACAGUAAUUACAGUUUCAGACAUUCGCCAACUCUGUUUUCAAAGGUGCCAAAUUUUCUUGUGAUCGUUUUCGCCAUGCAUUGUUGAGAGACUUGCGGAAGAUGGAUGUUCAACAGCUGUAUCUUCAUCUAGGCUCAAAUGACAUUCUUACGAAUGAAGCGGUGUUUUACUGGAGGCGCACAAUCGGUGUCCAGAAUGCAGGGUUGUUUGCUCCAACGAAGACGCUUUGCUGAGCCACUUCUGCAGUCGCCACAUCAAGCAACCAGAGACUGGAAAAGAGAGUAAAAUUAAGCUGAUAGGCUCACCAAUGGUAUGACUUUAAAUCACUAACUUGUGUAUGCUUGACAAGCAUUUUAUGUACAAAUAAAGUAACAAAAAAAGGAGGUCAACACAUGCACUUUCCCAUAUAAAGCUUUCUGUAUCUUUUAGCAACUAAUUACACGAUUUUGUGUUGACAUACUCAAUAUGAUAGUUAUAGCCCUAUAUAACUGGUAUGUUCAUUUUAGUUAAUCUUUCUAUUUUAUUAAACCUGUUUGUUUUAGCUAGAUUGCUUGAAAAACACAACCAGGAUUAUUUUUAUGCCCCCGGAUCGAAAGAUCGGGGGUAUAUUGUUUUUGGCCUGUCUGUCAUUGUAUGUGUCCAUGUGUGUGUGUGUGUGUGUGUCCCAAAACU